GAUCCUGGCUCAGGAUGAACGCUAGCUACAGGCUUAACACAUGCAAGUCGAGGGGCAGCAUGUCGGUUGCUUGCAACCGACGAUGGCGACCGGCGCACGGGUGAGUAACGCGUAUCCAACCUACCCUUGUCCAUCGGAUAACCCGUCGAAAGGCGGCCUAACACGAUAUGCGGUUCUCAGCAGGCAUCUAACGAGAACGAAAUGUGAAGGAGAAGGAUGGGGAUGCGUCUGAUUAGCUUGUUGGCGGGGUAACGGCCCACCAAGGCAACGAUCAGUAGGGGGUUCUGAGAGGAAGGUCCCCCACAUUGGAACUGAGACACGGUCCAAACUCCUACGGGAGGCAGCAGUGAGGAAUAUUGGUCAAUGGACGGAAGUCUGAACCAGCCAAGUAGCGUGCAGGAUGACGGCCCUAUGGGUUGUAAACUGCUUUUAUAUGGGGAUAAAGUGGGUCACGUGUGGCUUAUUGCAGGUACCAUAUGAAUAAGGACCGGCUAAUUCCGUG
This 502-nucleotide ribosomal RNA is filed under the name uncultured bacterium. Its description in RNAcentral is "bacterial SSU rRNA". It matches the Rfam family "Bacterial small subunit ribosomal RNA", at positions 15 to 507 of the family's 1533-position model. The record is from RNAcentral.